This 447-nucleotide ribosomal RNA is filed under the name uncultured bacterium. Its description in RNAcentral is "partial 16S ribosomal RNA". It matches the Rfam family "Bacterial small subunit ribosomal RNA", at positions 30 to 523 of the family's 1533-position model. The record is from RNAcentral.
AUUGAACGCUGGCGGCAUGCCUUACACAUGCAAGUCGAGCGCCCCGCAAGGGGAGCGGCAGACGGGUGAGUAACGCGUGGGAAUCUACCCAUCUCUACGGAAUAACGCAUGGAAACGUGUGCUAAUACCGUAUACGUCCUUCGGGAGAAAGAUUUAUCGGAGAUGGAUGAGCCCGCGUUGGAUUAGCUAGUUGGUGGGGUAAAGGCCUACCAAGGCGACGAUCCAUAGCUGGUCUGAGAGGAUGAUCAGCCACACUGGGACUGAGACGCGGCCCAGACUCCUACGGGAGGCAGCAGUGGGGAAUAUUGGACAAUGGGCGCAAGCCUGAUCCAGCCAUGCCGCGUGAGUGAUGAAGGCCCUAGGGUUGUAAAGCUCUUUCACCGGUGAAGAUAAUGACGGUAACCGGAGAAGAAGCCCCGGCUAACUUCGUGCCAGCAGCCGCCGUAA